AUGUCAGCUUCUGUAGAUAGUGCACGGAAGGGGUGCAGCUGUGGCAGCUCCAAAUGGCAGAACUUCAGCACCAAAUGCCUGAACAGAAAGUGCGGUUGUUACAAGGAUGGUGUGCGUUGCAUGCUUGGGCGAUGCAAGUGCAAGCGCUGCAAGAACAAUCCGGAUCAGCUGGCCUAUGAGGGUGGCAAGGGGUGCACGUGCAAAUCCAACAAAUGCAAAAUCAUGACCUGUGGUUGCCGGGAGCGCGGGGCCAGGUGCACCUUAGAAUGCAGUUGCCAAGGGUGCGAAAAUGGAAAAGGGACCGGAGGGGAAGCAGCUGAUAAGUCCGAUGCUGGACCAGGAGGGCAGGGAGGUACCAUCAGCAGCGACAAGGCCGUCGAAUCAUCCAGCAAACGGGCAAAACUCAAGUGA
This 411-nucleotide ribosomal RNA is filed under the name Triticum aestivum (bread wheat). RNAcentral's name for it is "partial small subunit ribosomal RNA". The record is from RNAcentral. Lineage: Eukaryota; Viridiplantae; Streptophyta; Magnoliopsida; Poales; Poaceae.